This 468-nucleotide ribosomal RNA is filed under the name uncultured bacterium. RNAcentral's name for it is "partial 16S ribosomal RNA". It matches the Rfam family "Bacterial small subunit ribosomal RNA", at positions 28 to 507 of the family's 1533-position model. The record is from RNAcentral.
GACGAACGCUGGCGGCGUGCUUAACACAUGCAAGUCGAACGGAAAGGCCCUGCUUUUGUGGGGUGCUCGAGUGGCGCACGGGGGAGUAACACGUGAGUAACCUGCCCUUGACUUUGGGAUAACUUCAGGAAACUGGGGCUAAUACCGGAUAGGAGCUCCUGCUGCAUGUUGGGGGUUGGAAAGUUUCGGCGGUUGGGGAUGGACUCGCGGCUUAUCAGCUUGUUGGUGGGGUAGUGGCUUCCCAAGGUUUUGACGGGUAGCCGGCCUGAGAGGGUGACCGGCCACAUUGGGACUGAGAUACGGCCCAGACUCCUACGGGAGGCAGCAGUGGGGAAUAUUGCACAAUGGGCGGAAGCCUGAUGCAGCAACGCCGCGUGCGGGAUGACGGCCUUCGGGUUGUAAACCGCUUUCGCCUGUGACGAAGCGUGAGUGACGGUAAUGGGUAAAGAAGCACCGGCUAACUACGUG